RNAcentral lists this ribosomal RNA (109 nucleotides) under Haplochromis burtoni (Burton's mouthbrooder). The record is from RNAcentral. Lineage: Eukaryota; Metazoa; Chordata; Actinopteri; Cichliformes; Cichlidae.
GCAUACGGCCAUUCCACCCUGAACACGGCUGGUCUCGGAAGCUAAGCAGGGUUGGCCUUGGUUAGUACUUGGAUGGGAGAGUUCCUGGGAAUACCAGGUGCUGUAAGCU